CCCCCGUACAUGAAAGACAACUAUAAGAGCGUAGCAAUGUUUCAAAUACAGCAUAAUCGAGAGUAUUGUACAACAUACACACAACUAUUUGACUGUGGAGGAAAAAGGGUCAGUAGUUGGGACUAGUCAGGGAGGAGAGGUAACCUGUCCACAAUGAGGGGUGAUCCAUUUAAUUCACCAAUGGUACCACGGAAAUCAUCAAGCCUGCUAUCUGCACCAACUGAUUCACUAGACUUCCUACCUUCAUCCAAACUAGCCUGAUAUGGAAGGAUACAGAGACGUACAUCUGGCUCUCUACCAAUUUUUUCUGACUGUAGUUGGUAUUUUUGGAUGAAAUCCAUUUGAAGUAAAAUAAUAUGUGAUGGCCUUGGGAGUAGCUCCACAGUUUCUCCUUUUGGG
RNAcentral lists this unclassified non-coding RNA (399 nucleotides) under Hevea brasiliensis (rubber tree). The record is from RNAcentral. Lineage: Eukaryota; Viridiplantae; Streptophyta; Magnoliopsida; Malpighiales; Euphorbiaceae.